GAUUAACGCUGGCGGCGUGCUUAACACAUGCAAGUCGAACGAUGAAACUUAAAUUAUUUCUUCGGAAUGAACUUAAGUGGUUUAGAGGCGGACGGGUGAGUAACGCUGGAGUAACCUGCCUUACACAAGGGGAUAGCCGUUGUGAACGAUGAAUAAUACCCUAUUAAACUAUCACUUCGCAGGAAGCGAUAGUAAAAGUGUUAGCGGUGUAAGAUGGAGUUGCGUCUGAUUAGCUAGUUGGUGAGAAAAAAGCCCACCAAGGCAACGAUCAGUAGCCGGCUUGAGAGAGUGUACGGCCACAUUGGGACUGAGACACGGCCCAGACUCCUACGGGAGGCAGCAGUGGGGAAUUUUGCACAAUGGGGGAAACCCUGAUGCAGCGACGCCGCGUGAUUUAGAAGGCCUUCGGGUUGUAAAAAUCUUUUGUAUAGGAAGAAAAUGACAGUACUAUACGAAUAAGGUCCGGCUAAUUACGUG
This 477-nucleotide ribosomal RNA is filed under the name uncultured bacterium. RNAcentral describes it as "partial 16S ribosomal RNA". It matches the Rfam family "Bacterial small subunit ribosomal RNA", at positions 28 to 507 of the family's 1533-position model. The record is from RNAcentral.